Molecule: ribosomal RNA, 641 nt
Filed under: uncultured bacterium
Lineage: Bacteria
Description: bacterial SSU rRNA
Rfam family: Bacterial small subunit ribosomal RNA
Source: RNAcentral
GGGGCAUGCUUUACACAUGCAAGUCGAGCGGCAACGCGGGGGCAACCUGAGGCGGCGAGCGGCGAACGGGUGAGUAAUACAUCGGAACGUGUCCCGUAGUGGGGGAUAGCCCGGCGAAAGCCGGAUUAAUACCGCAUAUGCUCUACGGAGGAAAGUGGGGGAUUCUCGGGCAACUGAGGACCUUACGCUAUGGAGCGGCGAUGUCCGAUUAGCUAGUUGGUAGGGUAAUGGCCUACCAAGGCGACGAAUCGGUAGCUUGGUCUGAGAAGGAUGAUCAGCACACUGGGACUGAGACACGGCCCAGACUCCUACGGGAGGCAGCAGUGGGGAAUUUUGGACAAUGGGGGAAACCCUGAUCCAGCCAUGCCGCGUGAGCGAAGAAGGCCUUCGGGUUGUAAAGCUCUUUUGGUCGGAAAGAAAGGGUUCGGGCGAAUACCCUGGAUCUUUGACGGUACCGGCAGAAUAAGCACCGGCUAACUACGUGCCAGCAGCCGCGGUAAUACGUAGGGUGCGAGCGUUAAUCGGAAUUACUGGGCGUAAAGCGUGCGUAGGCGGUUCUCCAAGUCCGUUGUGAAAUCCCCGGGCUUAACCUGGGAAUGGCAGUGGAAACUAGGGGACUUGAAUCUGGCAGAGGGGGGUGG